RNAcentral lists this ribosomal RNA (478 nucleotides) under uncultured Sphingobacteriales bacterium. RNAcentral's name for it is "bacterial SSU rRNA". It matches the Rfam family "Bacterial small subunit ribosomal RNA", at positions 904 to 1382 of the family's 1533-position model. Lineage: Bacteria; Pseudomonadati; Bacteroidota; Sphingobacteriia; Sphingobacteriales. The record is from RNAcentral.
UCAAGGAAUUGACGGGGCCGCACAAGCGGAGGAGCAUGUGGUUUAAUUCGAUGAUACGCGAGGAACCUUACCUGGGCUCGAACGUAAGAUGACUGUAGGUGAAAGCUUACAUCUCUUCGGAGCAUUUUACGAGGUGCUGCAUGGUUGUCGUCAGCUCGUGCCGUGAGGUGUCGGGUUAAGUCCCAUAACGAGCGCAACCCCUACCUUUAGUUGCCAUCAGGUUAAGCUGGGGACUCUAAAGGAACUGCCUACGCAAGUAGUGAGGAAGGCGGGGAUGACGUCAAAUCAGCACGGCCCUUACGUCCAGGGCUACACACGUGCUACAAUGGCCGAUACAGAGGGCAGCUACCUGGUGACAGGAUGCAAAUCUCCAAAGUCGGUCUCAGUUCGGAUCGGAGUCUGCAACCCGACUCCGUGAAGUUGGAUUCGCUAGUAAUCGCGCAUCAGCCAUGGCGCGGUGAAUACGUUCCCGGGCCUU